RNAcentral lists this ribosomal RNA (253 nucleotides) under uncultured bacterium. RNAcentral's name for it is "partial 16S ribosomal RNA". It matches the Rfam family "Bacterial small subunit ribosomal RNA", at positions 524 to 776 of the family's 1533-position model. The record is from RNAcentral.
UACGUAGGGUGCGAGCGUUAAUCGGAAUUACUGGGCGUAAAGCGUGCGCAGGCGGCUUUGCAAGACAGAUGUGAAAUCCCCGGGCUCAACCUGUGAACUGCAUUUGUGACUGCAAGGCUAGAGUACGGCAGAGGGGGAUGGAAUUCCGCGUGUAGCAGUGAAAUGCGUAGAUAUGCGGAGGAACACCAAUGGCGAAGGCAAUCCCCUGGGCCUGUACUGACGCUCAUGCACGAAAGCGUGGGGAGCAAACAGG